ACAUAUUGUAUCAAACAGCUUAUUGUAAUGAUUAGACUUGAAAGUCAAAUCAAUAGAUAAAUUAGAAGUCACUAUCAUUAGUAGUGUCAAUUCAAAUUUAACCAAAGAGAUAGAAUGGAAAGAAGCUACGCAUUGGAAUGCUUAUUUUAAAAUUGUUAGCGAUCGGCUGAAAGUAGGCGAUAUAUAAUAUUAAGAUUACAAUCUUAGUGAUGGCUUUCUUUAUUUUAAGAAGUAGAUUUAUGUACCUGACAAUGCUAUAUUUUGAAUGUGCAUACUUCAAGAGGGACAUGACAUCCUAAUAUUUGGAUAUCUAGGGCGAGAAAAGUUUUUAGAGUGAAUUUUAAGUACAUGAUUUUGAACAAGUUUGGAUUGUAAUGUUUGAGCUUUUAUACGCUUCUAUGAAUCAUAUCAAUAUAAUGAAGCAUGCAAUAUAAUGUCU
This 439-nucleotide long non-coding RNA is filed under the name Physcomitrium patens. RNAcentral's name for it is "long non-coding RNA (PPAT_LNC009901)". Lineage: Eukaryota; Viridiplantae; Streptophyta; Bryopsida; Funariales; Funariaceae. The record is from RNAcentral.